AUUGAACGCUGGCGGCAUGCCUUACACAUGCAAGUCGAACGGCAGCAUGAUCUAGCUUGCUAGAUUGAUGGCGAGUGGCGAACGGGUGAGUAAUACAUCGGAACGUGCCCUGUAGUGGGGGAUAACUAGUCGAAAGAUUAGCUAAUACCGCAUACGACCUGAGGGUGAAAGUGAGGGACCGCAAGGCCUCAUGCUAUAGGAGCGGCCGAUGUCUGAUUAGCUAGUUGGUGAGGUAAAGGCUCACCAAGGCGACGAUCAGUAGCUGGUCUGAGAGGACGAUCAGCCACACUGGGACUGAGACACGGCCCAGACUCCUACGGGAGGCAGCAGUGGGGAAUUUUGGACAAUGGGCGAAAGCCUGAUCCAGCAAUGCCGCGUGUGUGAAGAAGGCCUUCGGGUUGUAAAGCACUUUUGUCCGGAAAGAAAUGGCUCUGGUUAAUACCUGGGGUCGAUGACGGUACCGGAAGAAUAAGGACCGGCUAACUACGUG
This 490-nucleotide ribosomal RNA is filed under the name uncultured bacterium. RNAcentral describes it as "partial 16S ribosomal RNA". It matches the Rfam family "Bacterial small subunit ribosomal RNA", at positions 30 to 507 of the family's 1533-position model. The record is from RNAcentral.